RNAcentral lists this ribosomal RNA (451 nucleotides) under Massilia sp. RNAcentral describes it as "bacterial SSU rRNA". It matches the Rfam family "Bacterial small subunit ribosomal RNA", at positions 27 to 473 of the family's 1533-position model. The record is from RNAcentral. Lineage: Bacteria; Pseudomonadati; Pseudomonadota; Betaproteobacteria; Burkholderiales; Oxalobacteraceae.
GAUUGAACGCUGGCGGCAUGCUUUACACAUGCAAGUCGAACGGUAACAGGGAGCUUGCUCCGCUGACGAGUGGCGAACGGGUGAGUAAUAUAUCGGAACGUACCCAAGAGUGGGGGAUAACGUAGCGAAAGUUACGCUAAUACCGCAUACGAUCUAUGGAUGAAAGUGGGGGAUCGCAAGACCUCAUGCUCCUGGAGCGGCCGAUAUCUGAUUAGCUAGUUGGUAGGGUAAAGGCCUACCAAGGCGACGAUCAGUAGCUGGUCUGAGAGGACGACCAGCCACACUGGAACUGAGACACGGUCCAGACUCCUACGGGAGGCAGCAGUGGGGAAUUUUGGACAAUGGGCGCAAGCCUGAUCCAGCAAUGCCGCGUGAGUGAAGAAGGCCUUCGGGUUGUAAAGCUCUUUUGUCAGGGAAGAAACGGUAGAGGCUAAUAUCCUUUGCUAAUGAC